GGCCGGUUAGCUCAGUGGGUUGAGCGCGGCGCUGACAACACCGAGGUCAUGGGUUUGAUUCCCGUUCGGUCC
Molecule: transfer RNA, 72 nt
Filed under: Apaloderma vittatum (bar-tailed trogon)
Lineage: Eukaryota; Metazoa; Chordata; Aves; Trogoniformes; Trogonidae
Rfam family: tRNA
About the family: Transfer RNA (tRNA) molecules are approximately 80 nucleotides in length. Their secondary structure includes four short double-helical elements and three loops (D, anti-codon, and T loops).
Source: Rfam by way of RNAcentral